UACAGAGGUCCCAAGCGUUGUUCGGAUUCAUUGGGCGUAAAGGGUGCGUAGGCGGUGAGGUAAGUCUGGUGUGAAAUCCCGGGGCUCAACCCCGGAACUGCACUGGAUACUGCUUUACUAGAGUACUGGAGAGGGAACUGGAAUUUACGGUGUAGCAGUGAAAUGCGUAGAGAUCGUAAGGAAGACCAGUGGCGAAGGCGAGUUCCUGGACAGUUACUGACGCUGAGGCACGAAGGCCAGGGGAGCAAACGGGAUUAGAAACCCCCGUAGUCC
RNAcentral lists this ribosomal RNA (273 nucleotides) under uncultured bacterium. Its description in RNAcentral is "partial 16S ribosomal RNA". It matches the Rfam family "Bacterial small subunit ribosomal RNA", at positions 524 to 796 of the family's 1533-position model. The record is from RNAcentral.